RNAcentral lists this transfer RNA (71 nucleotides) under Derichthys serpentinus (narrownecked oceanic eel). Its description in RNAcentral is "tRNA-Ser (UCN)". It matches the Rfam family "tRNA". Rfam says of the family: Transfer RNA (tRNA) molecules are approximately 80 nucleotides in length. Their secondary structure includes four short double-helical elements and three loops (D, anti-codon, and T loops). Further hydrogen bonds mediate the characteristic L-shaped molecular structure. tRNAs have two regions of fundamental functional importance: the anti-codon, which is responsible for specific mRNA codon recognition, and the 3' end, to which the tRNAs corresponding amino acid is attached (by aminoacyl-tRNA synthetases). tRNAs cope with the degeneracy of the genetic code in two manners: having more than one tRNA (with a specific anti-codon) for a particular amino acid; and 'wobble' base-pairing, i.e. permitting non-standard base-pairing at the 3rd anti-codon position. Lineage: Eukaryota; Metazoa; Chordata; Actinopteri; Anguilliformes; Derichthyidae. The record is from RNAcentral.
AAGAAAGUGGUAGAGUGGUUAUGCGGUUGGCUUGAAACCGACUAAUGGGGGUUCGAUUCCUUCCUUUCUUG